Molecule: long non-coding RNA, 1428 nt
Organism: Frieseomelitta varia
Lineage: Eukaryota; Metazoa; Arthropoda; Insecta; Hymenoptera; Apidae
Exons: 2
Source: RefSeq, a predicted model, not a curated record
AUCUUACUUGAGGAUCGCCUUUCGGGAGAUCUGUAAUUCAUUGAAGUUUUUAAUAACAGAGGAAGAUUUCGACUCGUCGUGUACGAACGUAGGCACCUGCCGACGCGCCAUUGUUAGAUGAGGUGAACGCCACUUUUUCGCCAUGCUAUCCUACCGGCAAGAUAUUCCGUAUACAUAACACGUCAUGUACAUCUCGGGGGAUCAUUAUGCCGUCCACAGAAGGCAGUCAAUUUCCUCGUAGCGGUAGCGAACUGUCAAAGAAUUGUCUCACUUCUGGGCUGAAUGACUUCCGCCUAAUAGCCGGUUUUGUGUCCCGCGAUCUUCUUUCUACACACGCUCUCAAGGACACGAUCGCCGAAGAUUACCAUUUUGAACUUGUUUGGUAAUGUCGUGGAUGCGGGACGAUCAUCCCGUCUCGUGAGAAUGGAGAAAAGGAAGAAAAGCAAGAGAGCGUCCGAGGGAUACAAGGCGAGAUUCGAAGGCUCGAUCUAGUAUCGAGCUUUUACGAGCGAUCCGUGAUCGGAAAGGAGAGGCAAUCACCUCGUCUCUUCAAAGAAGAAUCGCUAUCGUGGUUGUGGCGUCGUUAAGUCGACGUUCAACGAGAAUACGAGACGGUGGGAACGGGACCUCGAUAUUCUGUCCUCUACCUGCUUGUCUAUUCUCCGUCGUUCCUUUCCCCUCUUCUCCUUCCAUUUCUUUCACCGUGUUUAAUUUCGUCACUCUGUCCCUUCGAAUUACGUUUUAAUUGGCCACGCGAUUGCCACGACAAUGCUGUUCAUCGCGUAGGAAGUAAUCAACGGGCCAUAAUGAAGAGUAACAGCGAUGCCGGCUGAAGACGCGUAGUGUGAAUCAAUGGAAAAAAUAAUGAGUCGCGAUCCGGUUCCCGAUUUAUUACUGAUAUUCGAGUGUUCAUUCAGUGUUUUCAAUUGGAAGUUAAUAGUGCAUAUCAAAAGGUCAAUCCGCGGGGAACUAGGUGAAAUGGUAUUGAAAGGAAGAAAGAUUGUGUUUAUCGGGUCUGAUUGUGAGCUGUUAAUUAACAGUAACUCGGUUAAGAGAGCCGCGAAGGAUGGAUGAUGAAACGAAAGAAGCGUGUUCGGUGAUUUAAUGAGACCGACCGUGAUCUCUAUCCUCUCGUUCGAGCGUUUUGUUUUCUGUUUUUUUUUUUUUUUUUUUUUUUUUUUUUUUCUUUCAAUUAAGAGUCGUUGUCUCUGUUUUAAUAAUUUUGAUUUGGUACUGCUAUUGAUAUAUUUGUGAAAUGGCGUGUUUGUCGAAUGAAUGAACGAUGGACAGGAAAAGUGAUUCUCUCUCGUAUGUUAACUGUGAUCCUCGUAAUAAGGAAAUUGUAAUUUAUUUACCAUUGAUAGACUAAUUUAUUUAGCUAACUCUGAAAUAGAAUAGGCAAGGAAAUAAAAGUUGGUAAACGAGCAA